This 85-nucleotide transfer RNA is filed under the name Felis catus (domestic cat). It matches the Rfam family "tRNA". Rfam says of the family: Transfer RNA (tRNA) molecules are approximately 80 nucleotides in length. Lineage: Eukaryota; Metazoa; Chordata; Mammalia; Carnivora; Felidae. The record is from Rfam by way of RNAcentral.
GCCUGGGUGGCUCAGUCGGUUGAGCAUCCGACUUCGGCUCAGGUCAUGAUCUCGCGGUCUGUGAGUUCGAGACCCACGUCAGGCU